Molecule: small nuclear RNA, 103 nt
Organism: Malania oleifera
Lineage: Eukaryota; Viridiplantae; Streptophyta; Magnoliopsida; Santalales; Ximeniaceae
Source: RefSeq, a predicted model, not a curated record
GUAUCUUUGGAGACAUUCAAUAAAAUUGAAACGAUACGGAGAAGAUUAGCAUGGCCCCUGCGCAACGAUGAUAUGCACAAAUCGAGAAAUGAUCCUAAAGUAC